UAUUAGAGGCACUGCCUGCCCAGUGACACACGUUUAACGGCCGCGGUACCCUGACCGUGCAAAGGUAGCAUAAUCACUUGUUCUUUAAAUGGGGACUCGCAUGAAAGGCACCACGAGGGUUUAACUGUCUCUUACUUUUAACCAGUGAAAUUGACCUGCCCGCGAAGAGGCGGGCAUAAAAUAAUAAGACGAGAAGACCCUAUGGAGCUUUAAUCUAUUAAUGCAAUCAAAAAUUACACAAACCCGCGGACCUUUAAACUACCGACACCUGCAUUAAAAAUUUUGGUUGGGGCGACCUCGGAGCACAACAAAACCUCCGAAUAAUACAUGCUAAGACCACACAAGUCAAAGCGAACUAACACUUACAAUUGAUCCAAUAAUUUGAUCAACGGAACAAGUUACCCUAGGGAUAACAGCGCAAUUCUAUUCUAGAGUCCAUAUCGACAAUAGAGCUUACGACCUCGAUGUUGGAUCAGGACAUCCUAAUGGUGCAGCAGCUAUCAAGGGUUCGUUUGUUCAACGAUUAAAGUCCUACGUGAUCUGAGUCCCAGACCGGA
Molecule: ribosomal RNA, 557 nt
Filed under: Macaca mulatta (Rhesus monkey)
Lineage: Eukaryota; Metazoa; Chordata; Mammalia; Primates; Cercopithecidae
Description: partial large subunit ribosomal RNA
Rfam family: Bacterial large subunit ribosomal RNA
Source: RNAcentral